Molecule: ribosomal RNA, 1195 nt
Filed under: Terebralia sulcata
Lineage: Eukaryota; Metazoa; Mollusca; Gastropoda; Potamididae
Description: partial 16S ribosomal RNA
Rfam family: Bacterial large subunit ribosomal RNA
Source: RNAcentral
UUUAUAACUUUAAAUCCCAAACCUAUCUUUUAAAGUAUAAAAUGAAGCAUCAAAGAGUGCAGUAACUGGCGAUAGAACUUUUACUUAUUAAAACUAAAGUACCGUAAGGGAACAUAAAAAAUAAAAAUAACCAGCUAACCUCAGCGUACUUUUUGCAUCACGGUUUAGCAAGAAUAGCCCGGAAAUCCGGCUUCUCGAAAUCUAAUGAGCUAUUUUCAAUUUGGUCUCCUAGGACUAAUACUUANAUGUGACAAAAUUUAAGUAAUAAAUGAAAAUAGAGAUGAAAUUUUAUCCGCAUUAGUGAUAGCUAGUUUCUCCUGAAAAAUAUAAAAGUAUUAAAGCAAACAAACUUGCGAGGCACACAGCCCUUACAAGUCGUUUUAGCUCUCACUCGCUCGAGGAUAAGCUCGAGCGGGAACCUGAAAUCAUCAAAUUUAUAACUACACUCCUCCGCGUGGGCUUAAGAUUAGCCAUCACAUGAAACUUGUUAUAGAGUAGUUUCCUCAGCCCAACAAAAUUGAUAUAUACAACCUUCAGUACAAACAAGGGGACACUAUAAUCAAAAUCUUUAAGAUAAAGUGCCCAUGCUAAAAUGAGUAUUAUAACCAAAGAUCAUAUGAAUAACACCAUAAAGAUUUUUCUUAAAACCUUAUACUAAAGAACAAAAUAAUUGGAAGGAACUCGGCAAUCUCCUGCUUCGCCUGUUUAUCAAAAACAUGGCUCUUUGUUUUACUCCAAUAAAGAGUCGAGCCUGCCCAGUGAAGUUUUUAACGGCCGCGGUACUCUGACCGUGCAAAGGUAGCAUAAUCAUUUGCCUUAUAAUUGAAGGCUAGUAUGAAUGGUUUGACGAAAGCAGACCUGUCUCCCUCCUAUUACCCAGAAAUUGACCUCUAGGUGAAGAGGCCUAGAUAUUAUUGAAGGACAAGAAGACCCUGUCGAGCUUAAAAGAACAGGCGGAAGUUUAUAUAAUUAUAAAUAAAUAAUCCGUUCAGCUUUUUAGUUGGGGCGACUGAGGAACAAAAAAAGCUUCUUCCAUAAAAGAAACAAACGAGUUAAGAUCCAGCCACAGUCUGAUCUAAGAAAUUAGUUACCGCAGGGAUAACAGCAUAAUCUCUCUUGAGAGACCUAAUCGAAAGAGGGGGUUGUGACCUCGAUGUUGGACUAGAAUAUCCUAAAGAUGCAGAAGUCUUUGAAG